This 26-nucleotide non-coding RNA is filed under the name Mus musculus (house mouse). Lineage: Eukaryota; Metazoa; Chordata; Mammalia; Rodentia; Muridae. The record is from RNAcentral.
UGAUACCGGAGCAGAUAAAAGUAUAA